RNAcentral lists this transfer RNA (77 nucleotides) under Candidatus Saccharimonadota bacterium. RNAcentral describes it as "tRNA-Val". It matches the Rfam family "tRNA". From Rfam's summary of the family: Transfer RNA (tRNA) molecules are approximately 80 nucleotides in length. Their secondary structure includes four short double-helical elements and three loops (D, anti-codon, and T loops). Further hydrogen bonds mediate the characteristic L-shaped molecular structure. tRNAs have two regions of fundamental functional importance: the anti-codon, which is responsible for specific mRNA codon recognition, and the 3' end, to which the tRNAs corresponding amino acid is attached (by aminoacyl-tRNA synthetases). tRNAs cope with the degeneracy of the genetic code in two manners: having more than one tRNA (with a specific anti-codon) for a particular amino acid; and 'wobble' base-pairing, i.e. permitting non-standard base-pairing at the 3rd anti-codon position. Lineage: Bacteria; Candidatus Saccharimonadota. The record is from RNAcentral.
GGGUUGUUAGCUCAGCUGGCUAGAGCGUCUCGUUUACACCGAGGAGGUCGGGGGUUCAAGUCCCUCACAACCCACCA